This 2148-nucleotide long non-coding RNA is filed under the name Homo sapiens (human). RNAcentral describes it as "HSALNT0180316". Lineage: Eukaryota; Metazoa; Chordata; Mammalia; Primates; Hominidae. The record is from RNAcentral.
AAAUACUCCAGGCAAAAUUGCAUUUCUCACAGGAAGGAGCCUGCAAUUUACCUCCACAAUGCUCCAGGCUUCUAAUAGCCACCCUAGAGGUACUGUGUUGCUGCCCUGAAGACCUGUCUGACAUUGAAAUGACAUUCUGGGAAAGUCUGUCUACAGCUUGAAGAGGCCAAUUCUAUAUACAGCAAACUAUCCCUCUGGCUGAUUCCUGCUGAUACUCUCCAAAUGAAAGAUGGGUGAGAGCCAAGAGGCAGAAGGAGAAUGUAGAUUAAAGUGGAGAAAAAAGAAGAAAACAAAAACUGAAGCGUGGAGCAGUGCCUCUUUUAUGUCAAAAUAAAACUCAAAAAUGAAGUAGCAGCCAGAAGAUGAAAAAGAAUAACAACCACUACACAAUUCAAGAAAUAUGAGGGGAAGAAAGGUUGCUUCUCUGCAAGACUGUGUGCUGAGCUCAAAGAGAAAAAGAAACCCUGAGACUGCUCUUGCCCUCAUUCUUCCCUAGCAAUAGCUGCUGAUUUGUUGACUCUGCCAUGUGACCUUUGCAACCACUUAGCUGCCUUUUGUUAACAUGUCAAACACUGAAGUUUCUUCUUUAAUCACCACCAGCAGAUGAUUCAGUGAAAAUUUAAAAUGGAUUCACUGAUGGCAUCAAAAUGGCAGAGUAGGAGCAAUCUGGCUUCACUCUCCCUCAUAGAAAAGCAAAAACAACUAUCUAGUGCCAAGAUUAUCACCCGGAAUAUUCCAAAACUUAAAACUGAGGCUGCGACAAUCCCUAGAGCCUCAGAGAAGUGAAAAACCAGGAGCAGAAGGUAGGGGAAAUGAAUUUCUUUAACCUUGAUGCCCCUCCAGCAAGCUGCCAGGCACCACAUGGAAAACUGCCCCUAGACUUCUUUCUACACUGAAAAAGUGUAGCCUCUACAAUGGAAAAACUGAGAUCAAGGCAGACAGCUGGCUUCUCCACCAUCCUGGGUUCCUUAGAAGGAAAAACAUUCCUGCCUUAACCCAAGGGAAUCAUUGCAAGUGCCUGUAGGGUAAAAACUCCUUAGGUCAGCCAGAGACAAAAAGUGGAGGUGAGGCUAGCAGCAGUCAGCAUGCAAAAUCUGGUGGCUGCUCUUCAUUUCUACCUAGGGAGGCAUAAAUCAGAAAGGCUCUUCAGCAGGAUCAUGCUAUAGGAGGCAUUAUCCAUGACUGCUUUGGGCACAAACCUUCGCCAGCCUUCCCAGACAGCCAUGUAUCCACUUUGGAUCCCACCCCCAGGCCCAUCCAAAAAUAGGCACUAUGCAAAACUCAGAACCUGUGAAAGAGCUAGAGCAAAGAUUAGCUUAGGGCACCAUCUAGUGCUGAGAAGGAGUCAGCAAUCUUGAGAUAAGGCACCUUAACAGUCUGCCUAGGACCUUUAGACAUAUAUACUCUAGAAAGAUCAACACAAAGCAAGACAGACAGAGAAGCCUGGAAUAAAUACCUAAUACUUCAGUGCAAAGACAUAAAAAUACAUCCAAAAUAAGCAAGAGCAAACAGGAAACUGUGGCCUCAAAAAUUAACAAAAUAAGAAACCAAUGACUGACCCUAAUAGGAUGGCAAUGUGUAACCUCUCAGAUCAAGAAUUUAAAAUAGUAGUUUUGGGGAAACCCAGUGAAUUUCAGAAUAACACAGAAAAGCAAUUCAGAUAUUUAUCAGAUAACUUUAACAAAGAUAUUGAAAAAAAAACUUAAAAAUCAAACAGAAAGCCUAAAGCUGAAAAAUGUGAUUAAUGAACUCAAAAAUACAAUAGAAGGUCUCAACAACACAAUUGAUCAAGCAGAAGGAAGAAUCAGCAAGCUCAAAGAUAAACUAAUUGAAAAUAGAGGAGAAAAAAUUAAAAAGAAUGAAAAGAAACAAAGCUUACAGGUCCUAAGGGACAACAUCAAAAGAGCAAAUAUAAGGGUCACUGAAGUUCAAGAGAGACUUGAAAAUGACAAAGAGGUAGAAACUUAUUCAAGUAAAUACUAACAGAAAAUGUUCCAAACACGGAGAAAGAUAUAAAUAUCCAAGUAUAGGAAGGUUCAAUAUCACCAAAUAGAUACAAUAUAAAUAUGACUAUCCCAAGACAUAUUGUAACUAAACUCUCAAAGGUCAGUGACAAAGACAGGAUUCCGAAAGCAGCAUGAGAAAAGA